UACAAAAGCCUGCGGCUGAAUCGGAGAAAGAACUUCAGAGCUAUUGAACGUGUCACAGAAUCGACUUCUGCAAAGACAUUUUGGAUAAUGAGAAAGCUGAAAUAAUCAAGAACUUGGCUGCUCUAGACGCAGAUGGCCUGUUUUCAUGAAGUGCUCGGCCAAGUCGGGGCUUAAGCGAGCGAGGAGUGGAGUUAUAUAAAAUAUUCCAAGUCUUCUGCAUGGAUACUGUAUCCACACAGUGAGCUGGGCGGAGACCGAGCAGAGUGCCAGGUGCAGCCCAUGAGCAUGAGGAGCCACACCUGUUGCCAAUCAAGCUCUUUGUACAGUAGCUGGAAGAGGCGGCUGAGCACUGAUGGAAGGACGCUCAUAAUCAUACACCUGAAAGCGCCAAGUGUGGCUCCACUCUCAACUAAACUGUUGCACUAAUGGUGUGGAUUUGAUUUUGCUUGUUAAUUAAUUUGUAUUUGGUAAAGAGCCGCAGGUGCAAACCAAGGGCGCCUUCUACUUGUUUCUGGCAAUUAAUCGUUAUUUGACUUAGGUGGAAUCACAUGAUUUGUCAAGUGAAUGAUGGCUUUGGCUCGAUGGUAUCAACCUGAUGAAUGCAUUGCACAAAACCACAUAAAUGCUAUAUGCCGUGCUCAUGCGAUCCUCAUACUUCAUACUUUGUAUGAUCAAAUAAUUUAAAAUGACAUUAAUUUAACUCCUUCACUCCUAUUUAUUUGAUCUUGAAACUGAGUCAAUUAUCCAUCCCCCCCUGUUCCAGCAUGUUCCACCCCACGCUAAUCCCUGUGCACAAGAAACCAGUUUCCAGUAUUAAAUGAUGAAUGGAUGAAUAUUUACUGGGAUUAAAUUCAAGGUUUUCUAUGACGGAAGUCAACAAAUGUGUAUAAAUAAGACCUUUGUAUUAAAUAAGUUAUAAAUACUUUCCAUAAACUUUUCUGGCAAACUAUUAGACGCACAGCAUACUUCCAUACUUAACCUUGCUAUUUUGAGCACAUAAAUGUGUUCACGCUGUCAAUUGUGGAAAAGGCAGCCAAGGAAACUGCUGGAGCUGAAACCAUUGUGGUGAAUACCACAAUAUACAAUUAUGUUAAAAUGUUGCCAUCAUCAUUUCAAGUUUUCAUUUCAUGAAUUGAGACAACACUACUCUGGAAACCGUAUUUAUUGGCCUAAAUGUAUCAUCACAGUCAUCAUCAUAGUGGGACUCUUCAUUCAGGGAAUAUAUUUAUGCGUAUAUCUCCAUGGAGUUAAAAAGGUCACAUCGAUUUGGAUGUAUCCUGACUGUCCUCUGACUGUAAUUUCUGUUUGAAACAGAAGACUGAAGUCAAACGUCAAGCGUGGAGGAAUUAAAUGUAAAUCACAUAAAUCACUGGGAUUUCCAUUACAGA
Molecule: long non-coding RNA, 1388 nt
Organism: Larimichthys crocea (large yellow croaker)
Lineage: Eukaryota; Metazoa; Chordata; Actinopteri; Sciaenidae
Exons: 3
Source: RefSeq, a predicted model, not a curated record